Molecule: long non-coding RNA, 686 nt
Filed under: Triticum aestivum (bread wheat)
Lineage: Eukaryota; Viridiplantae; Streptophyta; Magnoliopsida; Poales; Poaceae
Description: long non-coding RNA (TAES_LNC026499)
Source: RNAcentral
UUUGUGAUCUCAUUUUGAGCGAGAUGGGACUAAAUAUUCUAUAGCCAUUAGUCUAUAUAUAAAGAUACAAUGCUUCUAGAGGCCCAAACCGAGUCAGGAGUAAGAAGUUUGUGUCUUCUCUUAUGGAAGGGAAAGCUAUUCUUCUUUGCCUUAUGGUGCUUGUGCACCUAGGAAAUUCCAUUCAUAUUGGUAAGAAAUUGAUCUCCCCAUCCCUAUAUAUGUUUCCAUUCUCCUAUAAACCAAAGUAGGAUAAUAUUAUCACUUAAACAUCAUGAAUAUUUUCAUAUUUUUCCCAAUUUGGACUUCUUUUUAUGGUGUGUGUUUUUCUUUACAGAUAAAUGCAAGGAUCUAGUUCACCCGCAAGGAAAAACAUGCAAGGAUCUAAUUGCUUCUAUCGACCGUGAGUGCGAUUUGUCAAAUUGCCAACUGACGUGCAAAGAUUUGUUUGGAGCGAAACUCACAGCCUCAUGGUGUAUCAACCCUGUCCCAUACUAUUGGCAUUGUAGGUGUCGUGUCUGUUGGUAGAGUUGCACUGAACAAUCAUGUCAAAAAAUGGACAAAUGAUGUGAUCCAAUAAUAAAAUCUUUGUGUGACAUGCAUCUAAGAAUACAUAAUGAUUGCCAAAUUUAGGUGUUCUAUUCGAUUUUGUCAUGUGUGAUAUUGAUCUGGUAAUUUUAGGUUUGCAU